This 403-nucleotide ribosomal RNA is filed under the name uncultured bacterium. Its description in RNAcentral is "partial 16S ribosomal RNA". It matches the Rfam family "Bacterial small subunit ribosomal RNA", at positions 28 to 527 of the family's 1533-position model. The record is from RNAcentral.
GACGAACGCUGGCGGCGUGCCUAAUACAUGCAAGUCGAACGCAGUGGGGACGGGUGAGUAACACGUGGGUAACCUCCCAUCAGAGGGGAUAACACUUGGAAACAGGUGCUAAACCGAUACUGAUGGAUGGACCCGCGGUGCAUUAGCUAGUUGGUGAGGUAACGGCUCACAAAGUCCACGAUGCAUAGCCGACCUGAGAGGGUGAGCGGCCACACUGGGACUUAGACACGGCCCAGACUCCUACGGGAGGCAGCAGUAGGGAAUCUUCGACAAUUGACGAAAGUCUGACCGAGCAACGCCGCGUGAGUGAAGAAGGUUUUAGGAUCGUAAAACUCUGUGGUUAGAGAAGCGGUAUCUAACCAGAAAGCCACGGCUAACUACGUGCCAGCAGCCGCGGUAAUUG